This is a long non-coding RNA of Cloeon dipterum, 939 nucleotides long. RefSeq lists it as uncharacterized. The record is from RefSeq and is a predicted model, not a curated record. The transcript has 3 exons. NCBI's taxonomy places the organism in Eukaryota, Metazoa, Arthropoda, Insecta, Ephemeroptera, Baetidae.
GCCCGGAGGAGCGUGGAAAGUAUUUGUGCUGGGUGAAUAAUUCGGCUGGCGAGGAGGCGAUGCGGGUGGCGCUGACUGUGACGGCGCCGCAGGUGGCACACGUCCAGCCCCUGAACCAGGUCGUCGACGUAAGAAAGACGCGUGAGUGUAGCCGUUGCGUGAGGAGGUCGCUACCCUGAUGAGGCAGAAGCAGGAGGUAGAGCAAGGUGCGCAGAAAAGGACACCCUGAGUAGAGUCUCGGAGGUGGAGCAGCGUCUCCGCGACUCCACCUGGUCCUCCGAGACGUCGGUGUUGAGACUGUCGAGCGGCCGCAAGUCCUAUCCUUGGCGCAAGGGCCAGGUUACUCCAGCCACACUGAAGAGACCACCUUCAGUUGUGAGCAGCAGUGGCGUGGAGCCGCUUCUCCGACUCGCACCGCGAGCCGAGCGAGGCCGAGUUCCACCUCGCUUCACCAGGGACACCCUUCCAAACCAUCGCAUGUGAUUCGCCGCCCCUCCCACCCUCAAUCCACCUCUCAAAUAUAAAAUUCACUGCGAUAACUGACCAAAGUCUCGACUUUUCUUUUUUUUCAACCCAAUUUUAAUUUUAUUUCGAGAUAAUUGUAAAAAAGCAGGUUUUGCAGCCGUGCUUUUACAAAUUAAUAACAGAUUUUACAUUAUUUUGCUGUGAAUUCCUGAAGUAUUUGGAAAUAAAAUUUAAGAAUCGCCAAACAAAAGGGAGAAUUUGUCUAUUUGAAAAGUUUAGCAGGAGGAAUCGAUUCAGCACAUCAGUGGAGGUCGCGAAUUUAUUUCUGCGGGGAAGAUGCAGCCGCAACCUGCAAAAUUACCUGAAUUUCGGCAGGCUGCUUUGACUGAAUUAGUUGAAACUUCUGCAUUGAUUAAAAUGGAGAUUUAACUUAAACUUAAAUCAGACACCUAUUUUAUUUGUAAAUGCCUUUAA